Molecule: ribosomal RNA, 445 nt
Filed under: uncultured bacterium
Lineage: Bacteria
Description: partial 16S ribosomal RNA
Rfam family: Bacterial small subunit ribosomal RNA
Source: RNAcentral
GUGAGGAAUAUUGCGCAAUGGAGGCAACUCUGACGCAGCCAUGCCGCGUGCAGGAAGAAGGCGCUACGCGUUGUAAACUGCUUUUAACCGGGAAGAAACCCCAGGACGUGUCCUGGGUUGACGGUACCGGAGGAAUAAGCACCGGCUAACUUCGUGCCAGCAGCCGCGGUAAUACGAAGGGUGCAAGCGUUAUCCGGAUUCAUUGGGUUUAAAGGGUGCGUAGGCGGAGCGUUAAGUCAGUGGUGAAAUCCUGCAGCUUAACUGUAGACUUGCCAUUGAUACUGGCGCGCUUGAGUGCGCUUGAAGUGGGCGGAAUGUGCCGUGUAGCGGUAAAAUGCUUAGAUAUGGCACAGAACACCAAUUGCGAAGGCAGCUCACUAAGGCGAUACUGACGCUGAGGCACGAAAGCGUGGGGAUCGAACAGGAUUAGAAACCCUGGUAGUCC